GAAUUAAUAUGUACUUGAAGGAAUAUCAAGAAUAAGGUAUUACGAUACCUGUAAAUUCGAUGUGAACUGAAUAGUCUAAGAAAUGUUAUAUAAGUACAUAUGGAAAUUUUAUUAUUGGAGAUAAGAUUUCACAGGAAGAGAUGCUAUGUGCUAUAUAUAUAUAUAUAUAUAUAUAUAUAUAUAUUUUAGCAAGAGGAAUGAUGAAUCAAGUUAAUGAUCAAGAUAAAACUAUGUUAGUAAUUAACAUAGCUUGAGUGUUGGCCUUGACUGACAAAUAAGAAUUUGAAGAAGUAUAAGGUCGUUAGUUAAUACGAUUAGUAAUGAGAAUGGAGUAAUUUAAAACUCAAAAUUUGAGUUAGAGAUAGAAUUUUGAAGCAUGGACUGCUCGAUUGCGUCCAAAACGUCGAGUUUAGUCAGAAUGGACAGUAAGCACAAAAUGUGUAAAGAUUGACUUUUGGUCAAAGUCAACAGUUAACUUUUUAUGGAGAAAAGUCAAAAUUAGUGUGAGAAGUGAAAUAUGUUAUGAUUAUAUGAAUUAUGGAUAUGAGUAAAUAAAUAUACAUUAUAUAAUGUGAAUACAUUUAUUUUGUAUAUAAG
Molecule: long non-coding RNA, 597 nt
Filed under: Panax ginseng (ginseng)
Lineage: Eukaryota; Viridiplantae; Streptophyta; Magnoliopsida; Apiales; Araliaceae
Description: long non-coding RNA (PGIN_LNC005029)
Source: RNAcentral